UCACCCUACAUUUUUUUCUUUUUCAAUAAUCCAUUUAACUUGGCGAUAAUCACAAGUCACAGAAAUACAGCGAUAUGAGUGAAGAGCAGCAGUAUUCUUCGUCAGAGCAAAUGUGUGAAGGUGCAGUACGGUGUCAAUCAAAUUCCGCCCUCCUUGAUAAAACCCGGCAUGGAGGUCAAGGUGACAACAUUGCCAAGCUCUUUUUUACAUUACAUUUGCUUUCACCGGAUUAGAUACCCACUCAAAAUAUGCAAAUUCAGAGCUGUCAGCUCAAGAAGAUCUACAGCACUGAAAA
Molecule: long non-coding RNA, 295 nt
Organism: Sinocyclocheilus rhinocerous
Lineage: Eukaryota; Metazoa; Chordata; Actinopteri; Cypriniformes; Cyprinidae
Exons: 2
Source: RefSeq, a predicted model, not a curated record